AGCGGCGGAAGGGUGAGUAAUGCCUAGGAAUCUGCCUGGUAGUGGGGGAUAACGUUCCGAAAGGAACGCUACCAAUCCAUACGUCCUACGGGAGAAAGCAGGGGACCUUCGGGAUUAGCUCUAUCAGAUGAGCCUAGGUCGGAUUAGCUAGGGCGGUGUGUAAUGGCUCACCAAGGCGACGAUCCGUAACUGGUCUGAGAGGAUGAUCAGUCACACUGGAACUGAGACACGGUCCAGACUCCUACGGGAGGCAGCAGUGGGGAAUAUUGGACAAUGGGCGAAAGCCUGAUCCAGCCAUGCCGCGUGUGUGAAGAAGGUCUUCGGAUUGUAAAGCACUUUAAGUUGGGAGGAAGGGCAGUAAAUUAAUACUUUGCUGUUUUGACGUUACCGACAGAAUAAGCACCGGCUAACUCUGUGCCAGCAGCCGCGGUAAUACAGAGGGUGCAAGCGUUAAUCGGAAUUACUGGGCGUAAAGCGCGCGUAGGUGGUUUGUUAAGUUGGAUGUGAAAGCCCCGGGCUCAACCUGGGAACUGCAUCCAAAACUGGCAAGCUAGAGUACGGUAGAGGGUGGUGGAAUUUCCUGUGUAGCGGUGAAAUGCGUAGAUAUAGGAAGGAACACCAGUGGCGAAGGCGACCACCUGGACUGAUACUGACACUGAGGUGCGAAAGCGUGGGGAGCAACUAAGGACAGAUACCCUGGUAGUCCACGCCGUAAACGAUGUCAACUAGCCGUUGGGUUCCUUGAGAACUUAGUGGCGCAGCUAACGCAUUAAGUUGACCGCCUGGGGAGUACGGCCGCAAGGUUAAAACUCAAAUGAAUUGACGGGGGCCCGCACAAGCGGUGGAGCAUGUGGUUUAAUUCGAAGCAACGCGAAGAACCUUACCAGGCCUUGACAU
RNAcentral lists this ribosomal RNA (897 nucleotides) under Pseudomonas sp. C001(2010). RNAcentral's name for it is "bacterial SSU rRNA". It matches the Rfam family "Bacterial small subunit ribosomal RNA", at positions 94 to 987 of the family's 1533-position model. Lineage: Bacteria; Pseudomonadati; Pseudomonadota; Gammaproteobacteria; Pseudomonadales; Pseudomonadaceae. The record is from RNAcentral.